This 1425-nucleotide ribosomal RNA is filed under the name uncultured organism. Its description in RNAcentral is "bacterial SSU rRNA". It matches the Rfam family "Bacterial small subunit ribosomal RNA". The record is from RNAcentral.
AGAGUUUGAUUAUGGCUCAGGGUUAACGCUGGCGGUGUGUCUAAUACAUGCAAGUCGAGCGCACUUUAUGUGAGCGGCGGACGAGCGAGUAACACGUUGGAACCUGCCCCAAACUCAGGGAUAACAUCUAGAAAUAGGUGCUAAUACCGGAUAGUCCCGCAAGGGUAAAGAUUUUUCGGUUUGGGAGGGGCCUGCGUACUAUCAGCUAGUUGGUAAGGUAAAGGCUUACCAAGGCUAUGACGGUUAACUGGUCUGAGAGGAUGAUCAGUCGCGAUGGGACUGAGACACGGCCCAUACUCCUACGGGAGGCAGCAGUAAGGAAUCUUCCACAAUGGACGAAAGUCUGAUGGAGCAACACCGCGUGAUCGAUGAAGCCUUUAGGGGUGUAAAGAUCUUUUCUGAGAGAAGAACUCUGACGGUAUCUUAGGAAUAAGCACCGGCUAACUCCGUGCCAGCAGCCGCGGUAAUACGGAGGGUGCAAGCGUUACCCGGAAUCAUUGGGCGUAAAGCGUCCGCAGGCGGUUUGUUAAGUAAGAUGUUAAAUUUUCCAGCUCAACUGGAAAUCUAUGUCUUAAACUGGCAAACUAGAGUAUUACAGAGGUGUGCAGAAUUCUGUGUGUAGGGGUAAAAUCCGUAGAUACACAGAGGAAUACCAAAAGCGAAGGCAGCACACUGGGUAAUUACUGACGCUCAGGGACGAAAGCGUGGGGAGCGAACGGGAUUAGAUACCCCGGUAGUCCACGCCGUAAACGAUGGAUACUAGGUGUUGGGAGACUCGACCCUUCCGGUGCCGACGCUAACGCAUUAAGUAUCCCGCCUGGGAAGUACGGUCGCAAGAUUAAAACUCAAAGGAAUAGACGGGGACCCACACAAGCGGUGGAGCAUGUGGUUUAAUUCGAUGAUAAGCGAGGAACCUUACCCAGACUUGACAUCCCGAGAAUUUUCCAGAAAUGGAAAAGUGCCGCAAGGAACUCGGUGACAGGUGCUGCAUGGUUGUCGUCAGCUCGUGCCUUGAGGUGUUCGGUUAAGUCCGUGAACGAGCGCAACCCUUGUCUUGUGUUGUAUGUUUCACAAGAGACUGCCGACUUUAAGUCGGAGGAAGGUAAGGAUGACGUCAAAUCAGCAUGGCCCUUAUGUCUGGGGCUACACACGUGCUACAAUGGCCAGUACAGAGGGCAGCAAACCCGCAAGGGGGAGCCAAUCCUUAAAACUGGUCCAAGUUCGAAUUGAGGGCUGCAAUUCGCCCUCAUGAAGUUGGAAUCGCUAGUAACCGCGUAUCAGCAAUGACGCGGUGAAUCUGUUCCUGGGUCUUGUACUCACCGCCCGUCACGUCAUGAAAGGUGGGGGCACCCGAAGUACCGUUAGCACUUAAGCGCGGUCCUAAGGUGAAACCACUGAUUGGGACGAAGUCGUAACAAGGUAGCC